RNAcentral lists this long non-coding RNA (1171 nucleotides) under Panax ginseng (ginseng). Its description in RNAcentral is "long non-coding RNA (PGIN_LNC004725)". The record is from RNAcentral. Lineage: Eukaryota; Viridiplantae; Streptophyta; Magnoliopsida; Apiales; Araliaceae.
AGUACACACGCGCGCACACACAUAUAUAUAUAUAGGCAAUUAAUAUUUCCACAAGCAAAAAUGAUAGUUCCACAAAGUCCCUCUCAGGAAUAGUAAAGUUAAAAGCAUCACAUUUUUACUCUUUUUAUUGAUAAACUAUAAAAUUACAUAACAUCCUCAAGUUUGCAAUCAGAAAUUUGAACUUAUUAUGAAACAACCCGGGUCAAAUCUCGAGUCCGGAAUAAAUCUCGGGUCACAUCUCAAGUCCGAAUCGAAUCGAAUCCAUCAAAAUAAAGUCUCAAACUACUGGCCCAAUAGCCCAAAAAUCUUUGCCUCUCUAGUCAUUGUGGGAUAAUACCGGCUGACUUCGUGUCCCCACAUCCGGACCUCCAUUGUGGGAUAAUACUACCAGCCUUUAUGUCCCCACCUCCGGCAACCCGAUCGGAUGACCUGACCUGAGCCUUCGAGAGUCGGCUUUGAUACCAUAUAAAACAACCCGGGUCAAAUCCCGAGUCCGGAAUAAAUAUCGAGUCAAAUCCCAAGUCCGAAUCGAAUCAAAUCCAUCAAAAUAAAGCCUCAAACUACUGGCCCAAUAGUAUCUUCUUGGGUCAUUUUAGCCCACCACAAGCUCUCAAAAGGUCAUGACUUGAAGGUACUAUUGGUAGUAAUUUUAUUCUAUCUUUCGAUAUGGGACUGGGGUGGUAAAUAUUAUAUAGCCUCUUCUUAUCAUCCACAGCUACAAAAUUAAUUAACUUACUAUUUUUAACAGCAAAUAUAAAACAAAAACCUUAAUAUUUACAUAUUUUGCAAAUGGGAACCCCUUUUUUGAAUUAGAAGAAGUAUAACAUUUCAACUUUAGCCUCGUCCCCAAAAAAAUAUAAAAUCAAUACAUAUAUAUAUAUAUAUAUAUAUAUAUAUAUUAUGCUGAAAUCGAUACCACAGUCCCCGUAAACAAUUCUAACCAGCCAAAAAAAGUUGCAUCAAAUAAGGAUAUACUGAUUAUUGUAAUAUUCUACAUAUUUAAAGAAUAUAAUUUAUACAAAACAGUUUAAUUAUGUACCUGGGGGUUCAUCAUCAGAUUCGUAACAAGCUUGCUCGUAUUUUUGGGAUUCUUAGCAGCAGCAGCACAUAAUAAUCGAAGAAAGGAUAAGAGGCAGAGCUCUAACUAAACCGUUUCAACGGUUGACUUAUU